RNAcentral lists this ribosomal RNA (162 nucleotides) under Cephalotaxus sinensis. RNAcentral's name for it is "5.8S ribosomal RNA". It matches the Rfam family "5.8S ribosomal RNA". From Rfam's summary of the family: 5.8S ribosomal RNA (5.8S rRNA) is a component of the large subunit of the eukaryotic ribosome. It is transcribed by RNA polymerase I as part of the 45S precursor that also contains 18S and 28S rRNA. Functionally, it is thought that 5.8S rRNA may be involved in ribosome translocation. Lineage: Eukaryota; Viridiplantae; Streptophyta; Pinopsida; Cupressales; Taxaceae. The record is from RNAcentral.
AACAUGACUCUUGGCAAUGGAUAUCUUGGAUCUCACCCUAAUGAAGAAUGUAGUGAAAUAUGAUACUUAGUGUGAAUUGUAGAAUCAUGUGAAUCAUUGAGUCUUUGAAUGUAAGUUAUACCUGACGCCUCAACUGAUGGCAUGUCUACUUGGGAAUUGUAC